RNAcentral lists this ribosomal RNA (1360 nucleotides) under Termitogeton planus. Its description in RNAcentral is "16S ribosomal RNA". The stretch from base 874 to 1244 matches the Rfam family "Bacterial large subunit ribosomal RNA", at positions 2073 to 2647 of the family's 2925-position model. The record is from RNAcentral. Lineage: Eukaryota; Metazoa; Arthropoda; Insecta; Blattodea; Rhinotermitidae.
AUUUUUUAUUGGGUUUAACAUUGGUUGAUUUGAUUUAUUGAAGUAUUAUUUGGUUUUUGUAUUUUUUUUGAUUUAAUUGUUUUUUGAUAGUUUAUUUGUACUGUGAGGGGUUAGAGGGUUUGUUUUUUUGGAAGUAGGUUUUGUUUGUCGUACCUUGUGUAUCAGGGUUUAUUGAAUUUUAUUAUUUAUUUUCGUUUCCCGAUUCUUGUAGGAGUUAUUGGGUUGUGUUGCGGUUACUGUUUCAGUAGUAUCGUUAACAUUCUGUUGGUAGUGAAAUGUUAUCCGUCUUUGGGGGUUUCUGGUUUUUCAAGAAAUGAAUUUAAUUCAUGCGCUUUGUUUAAUUUUUGCUGUUGGUUUAUUUUUUUUUAUUUGGUGUUAAGAUUGCGGGGGAUUAGCUCUUCAGUUUUUUUAUAACUUUUGUUUUGUAUCUAUUCUUGUGGAUUUUAAGUUGGUUUUCUAUAUGAUUAUGUUAAAAUUUCAUUUGUUUUGUUUUUUAUUUUUAUUUGUUUAAUUAUUUAUUGGAAUGGUUUCUUUACUUUUUUUUGGUUUGUAAUUAUUGUAGAAUUAGUAAAUUUCUGUUUUGGUUUGUUUAAUGCGAUUGUUUAAUUGUUAUUUUCUUCUGAGGAAUUAGGCAAGGAUUUGGUGCUCGCCUGUUUAACAAAAACAUCGCCUCUUGUUAGUUUUUGAGGUAUGGCCUGCCCACUGAUUUUUGUUGGUUGAAGGGCCGCGGUAUUUUGACCGUGCAAAGGUAGCAUAAUCAUUAGUUCUUUAAUUGUGAUCUGGUAUGAAUGGUUCGACGAGGUGCAGUCUGUCUUAGGGUUAGUUAGGAUUUGUUGUUGAUUUUAGUUUUUGAGUUAAAAUUCUUAAAUGUUUUUAUGGGACGAGAAGACCCUAUAGAGUUUGACAUACGCUUUUUGUUUUGUAGUUGGUUUGGAUUUAAAUUUACUUUUCGGUGUGUUUUGUUGGGGUGAUGGGAAGGCUUUUUUUAACCCUUCCUUGUUGGGUUUAAUAUUUAUUAGUAGUUGUUUGAUCCUCUUUUUGUGAUUGUAAGAUUAAAUUACCUUAGGGAUAACAGCGUUAUCUUCCCUGAGAGUUCUUAUUGGCGGGGGGGUUUGCGACCUCGAUGUUGGAUUAAGGUUAAUUUCCGGUGUAGGGGCUGGUUGUGGAUUAGGUCUGUUCGACCUUUAAAAUCUUACAUGAUCUGAGUUCAGACCGGCGUGAGCCAGGUUGGUUUCUAUCUAUAAUUUUUUUAUAUGUCUUAGUACGAGAGGACCAGGCAUUUGGAAUAAUUUUGUUGUUGGUGGUUUUUAUUAACAUUGCUAUUUUGGCAGACAAGUGCGUUGGAUUUAGAAUCUAUUAA